Molecule: long non-coding RNA, 2623 nt
Organism: Nasonia vitripennis (jewel wasp)
Lineage: Eukaryota; Metazoa; Arthropoda; Insecta; Hymenoptera; Pteromalidae
Exons: 2
Source: RefSeq, a predicted model, not a curated record
AGUUUACUGAGAGUGCUGGUAGCAUGAAGACGCAGUCUGUCCCAGUGCGUGCGCUGGGGCGCUACCUCCCCGACAGGGGACAGUAAGGAGAGGAAUCCCUGCACUGAAAGUGAAGCCACGCGCAGACGACCAAGCGACGCUGGCUUCUCGCAUCGGAGCUGAGGAAGAUCGCAACGAUGCCGGAUCAACUGAAGUUUGAAACUAACAAGGAGACGCUAAACCAGCAGAGGCCGGAGACAGCGUCAGCUAAGACGCGUCUCCGACAUCGAUACCGGCUGCGGAAAUUUUUCCAGCUGGAGCAGUAGCAGUAACAGACUCAUCACAGAUACGGUGACAACAUUAACGCUAAGAUCAACAGGGCAGGAGAAUGUCUCAAUCGAUUCGCAAGGAUAACAUCGUCGCGAUCGCUUUUAUUAAUGCAUACCUUAUAAACUUGCCGCGAGAAAAAAAUAUUUAACUAUUCAAAGCAAAAGGCUAGUCAUAGUCGCUACUACAGUAGAGGAUUAUGUGCCACCAUAUUCCUACGCUGUUUGAUUGUAUCAACCGCUGCGUUGGUUGUUGUGCAACUAUUCAGCUUGGUCGGGCAUCAUUGAAACCAUGAAAUUCUAUCACUUUGCGUAUCACGAUUUCAUGAGAUCACAUUUUCAAUGAUCGGCAGGGCCCUUCCAAGUGAAUCAAGGACAACUACCGCAGUCAGCGAGUUGCCGCCAAUCUUCCUGAGAAGCGUCGGAAUAGCCUAGCAGUUAAAAUUUUGGAAUUUCUAUGUAUACGAAUCAAGUGGUCCUCAUUUCACUCGCGAGUAAGGUUUACCAAACGCCACCUGUUGAUAACAGUUUUGCGCCUCUCAUGUAGAUCUAGACGGCACUGCCCGAGAGAGAGGGAACUGUAGUUGAGUAGUACGGCUAUAGAUCCGCUAGGUGGCUACCCGUAACACCAAAGCAAAACUGGUUCUCGAGGAGAUAUAAACGAGCAGCAAGUUAUCAUCAAUUAUUCCAAGAAGCAUCGUACUACCACAGCUCUAAUUCUUUAACCUUUAUAUAAAUCACCUAAGUGCGAAUCUUUAUCAUUUCACCUUUGUAUUUACAUAAAUAUUGGUCUACAUAACAAAAUAAAUAAAUAAAUAAAAACCAUUUUAUAUUUUUUUCAUGUAAUUUUGAUCACCUUUAUCGCCUUGAUUUUUUUUUGUUUUCACACUUUAGUUAACGAGUCAUGAUAGUUUUAAACAAAAGUACAUUUCAAGUAUAUCCUAAAAUCUAAUGGGUGUAAUUAUAGACCAAAUACUAGCGAUGCGCGAGGAUCAAAGUUUUACUGUAAAUUCUUCUAUCUUUCAAGAUGCGUUUGCGUGCCGAUGCUUUGGUCCAAAAAUAAGAACUGCAGUUUCGUAUGUCUCAUUACACACAGCGAAGAGUCGCCUCGCAAUGAAUCCGUUGACAAUCCUCUCAUCGAUUUCGAGCAUCGAUCACUGCCAGUUUACGUUUAUUCAAAGGGAGCGAAUCCUCGCGCCAAAGUUAUACACACCUGGAUACGCGAAUGAAAGCGUGAGCGUCCUGUUUGCUCGUGGUAGACAAACGCAUCUCGUCUGACACUUGUAGAACCACCUCAGAGCUCUGCAACACAUCGCAAGGAGCCGAGCUCGUUCACUUUGGGCUCGAAUCGUAUACAUCCGCGUUGAGGAACGGGCGGAGCAGCAGCAGCACCUGGUGUAAGGGACAGAAAUGAUUUAUCGAUAUUUUAUUUUCGGCUCACGCGUGUGCACAGCGACGUCUCUCAACCGGAUACGGUCAGCUUCGUGUCAACAGCGCCGACGGUGGCCUUGUUCUCUUCUCUCUCUAUCUCUCUUCCUUCCAGAAAAGCUCCCCUCGAAAUAUCGGUAAUUUUAUUUUCGAAAAUAAUAGCUACGUGACGGGGCAGUGCCGACCCUCUACUUAUCUGGCGCCUGCGCUCGUUACGCAGUCGUUAUAGGCAGAAACGCUUCUAGGAGUAUGGAGAGAAAGAGGGCCCACGGUUGUAUAUACAUCGCCUCCCCCUAAUCUCGCUCAGAGCUGGAGCCGCUCUGCGAUUAGCCGCGAUUACGACACUCGCGCCGACGAUCGCUUGUCGGUGUAUCGUCCGGCUUUGGUACCUUUCGCGCCGUCUUCGUCUGGCCCGCGUCGUCGUUGAUAAUUUAUUGGCUUCGUUAGGAGCUGAUCUGUUCAACGUUGACCGAUUGCAUCUUUCUGUUUACACUGAAGCGUUUUUCUGGAUAAUGGACCGUCUCAACAAUAUAUUUAAAAGAAGAUUAUUAUUUGAAAGAAAAAUAUAAAUCGAAAACAAACCACCUGCAUAAAAAAAAAUCUCGCCGUCAAAAACAUAUCGAUCACGUUCCCGCUCGCGCAUAAAAAUCGCAACAGCAUGGCAGUGCAAUUUUCGCAAAAAAUUUCACGCUGCGCAGGCACUUUGGCCGCCGCUGGUUCAUCUCGCUGGGCAGCCAAGCGGCGCUAAUUAUCGCGGCGGGAGCGGGAGAGAGAGAAAGACGAAAAUGAGCGGAUCCCGGGCGCACGUGUAAUGAUAAUGUGGAGACGCGCCUCCGCACCUCGGCUGCUAUCAUUACGCGGCGGCCGAUAAUCUUCAGCUCCGAGAAAAA